UUCGUUGAGUAUGGUCAAGUUUCCGAGUUUGCAGUUUGCUUAUUUUAUAUAUUCAACUUUAUUGGAAUAAAGCAGUCAAGCGACGGCGAACGCCCAAACAUAAUGGAAAGUGACAUUCACUCAAGCAGUCAAAGCCUUAUACUUAGGCUUAGGAAAACGCCAACAAUCCCAAUGUACCUAAAAUUGGCCGCCGAACCACAAUUCAUGAGCGAUGCGUUGCAAAACAAUAAAAAUGAUGCAAUUACCAUGGGGAAGUUAAAGUCUAUUAUUAUAUAAUUUGCUCAAUAUGUUAAGCGGAGAAACCACGAUGAUGAGCACCAAUUCUAUUCCGCAUUGUUUUCACAGUAGUGAUGUAGCCACUGAUGCUAUUUGAAGGACAUAUUUCCAUCAUCAUGUAGGCGUUUUUUUUUCAGCACCCGAAGUGGCUCCUGAAUGGCUGCAACAUAGGUCGAUUUGUUUCAAUUGGUGAUUGUUCACAGAUUUCUUUGUGAAUAACGGUAUUUGCAGAUAUACCUAACCUUCGACAGCGCACAACAAAAAAUUAUGAAUAAAAUAUUCAAACAAAUGUGAGAAUGCAUCACUACUAUUGGGAUCGUUUCGGAAAAGUAAAGUAAAAACAUUGAACGUAGAAAAAUUUAAAAAACCAUCUCACGUGGA
Molecule: long non-coding RNA, 657 nt
Organism: Wyeomyia smithii (pitcher-plant mosquito)
Lineage: Eukaryota; Metazoa; Arthropoda; Insecta; Diptera; Culicidae
Exons: 3
Source: RefSeq, a predicted model, not a curated record